RNAcentral lists this long non-coding RNA (438 nucleotides) under Canis lupus familiaris (dog). Its description in RNAcentral is "lncRNA (ENSCAFG00000052275.1)". The record is from RNAcentral. Lineage: Eukaryota; Metazoa; Chordata; Mammalia; Carnivora; Canidae.
UAAAUAAGGUGCAGAGUUAUCAGAGUUCUCCAUGACAAUGGAGAAAAGAGAAGGAUGAGAGCUGAACUCCAAAAAGACAUUGGAAGAGUAAAGGGAAAGAGAUAAAGGAAACAUCUAAGUAGGGUUCCAGGUUUCUGCGCUAGAUUUCCUUAGGUUUUCCUCUACAUUCAGCGGCAUUUCCAGCCUAUUUAGUUCGGAUGAUAAAUUUGGGAUGGAUUCACUUUAACAUAGUGAGAUUCCUUAAAAGUCCUCUCAAGCAUGAACCAGAAAACAGUAGAAAAAUGGUGAUGUCAGAGAUGGGUUUACAUUGAUAUGCCAAGUCCAUCAUCCCCUCUGCUUCUCUCUUAAGGAUGACUAAGAACUUUACCGCAGUCAAGAAGUCCUUCUGAGAAAAAAAGAACUAUUGAGGUUCAUUAUUACAAAAAUAGAAUGAAGAAU